AGUCUACAAACAUACUCCUGGACAACAGUUACACGGCAAAAGUGUCAGAUUUUGGCACUUCUAGGUUAAUUCCGUUGGAUCAAGUUGAAUUGUCAACGAUGGUGCGAGGUACUCUAGGAUACUUAGACCCUGAGUACUUGCACACAAGCCAACUGACGGACAAGAGUGAUGUUUACAGUUUUGGAGUGGUUCUUGUGGAACUACUAACUGGGAUGAAGGCAAUUUCCUUCCAUAAGCCUGAGGGGGAGAGGAAUUUAUCAUCGUAUUUUCUUUGUGCACUGAAAGAAGAUCGCCUGGUCCAUAUUCUUCAGGAUAGCAUGGUGAACCAGGAUAAUAUCAGGCAGCUGAAGGGAGUUGCCGACAUUGCAAAGAAGUGCUUAAGAGUAAAAGGAGAGGAAAGACCCAACAUGAAGAAUGUAGCAAUGGAAUUAGAGGGGCUAAGAACAUCUGCAAAACAUCCUUGGACUAAUGACGAAUCAGAUGUAGAAGAGACAGAGGACUUGCUUGGAGAAUCAGUGGAAACUGUUCGUUCUGAGGAAAUGGCUGGUACAAGUGCUGGAUAUCACGGUUUAUAUUUAAUGCAAUCACAAGGAGAUGGCAGAUGAACAUUUUAUUCUAGUGUCACAGCUUCGCUUGAUAGUUUGCUUUGAAUAAUAGCUUGCGCCAAGGCAAUGCUUUUCUUUUCUAUAUUACAGUCCAGUUCUUUUCUAUGUAAUUUUAUAAGAGAAAGAAUUUCUGAUGACAGUAUGUACAAUAUUCAACCCGCAUUGAAACUCUUUAUCCUAUCUCCAUUCUGCAAUGUAAUAUUCCAGGCGAUCUCCUUCUGAAAGCAAAAAAAUUGCUUGACAAACAUUCCGGUGUAUGCCAUUUCCUAAACAGGCAAAAUCUGUUAGUUACCCAUGCUCAUUGACAAGGACUGCGAUUAUAUGUCUCUGGGAAGGAAAUUUUUAUCGUCCACUCGACAUAGCAUAACAUAUUUGAAACGUUGUGAUUAUUUUUUAAAAUAUUUUUAAUUUAUAAAUAUAUUAAAAUAAUUUUUAUUUUUAAAAAUUAUUUUUGAUACCAGCACAUCAAAAUAAUCUAAAAAUAUAUAAAAAAAAUAUUAAUUUUAAAAAAAUAAAAAUAAAUAAAUAUUUUAAAAAAAUAUUUUUGAAAUAAAAAAUAAAUAAGCUGACAACAAAAAAAGAAAUUAGUAAAGGCACAACCAUUAUUUAGCUUUUCUUGUCGAUGAAAACUAAAAAAAAAUCUUACGUUGAUCAUGAUAAUUCUUAAUAAAGAAAUUGAUUCCACAUUUUUAUAAAAGAUCAAGACCGCUCUAACCCGAACUUAUUGGAUACCUAAGUAUGCAUAUUGUCAAGGAUGAUUCAUCUCAAAAUAUAAUUUUUCUAUCAUAUAUAAUAUAUAAUAUUUAUUAUUUAAUUAUUUAAUUUAUUUAUAUGUUUAUUGCUAGGUGUGUGUGUAUAUUACUUUUGGUAUUUAGUAAUGAAUAUUUGAAUAAAUAUCUUAAACUCGAUGUAUAACCCAAUAAAUAAUAGAUAAAAUAUGAAUAUAGCAUAAACUCAAACUCUUGAAUACUCAUUAUCAUCUCUCUCGAAAUUAUUUAACAUUUUUAUAUCUAAUCUUAAAUAAGAUAAUUUAAAAAAUGAAAUGAAAUGCUCAGUUACCUAAAUUGAAGGCAAGUUAUUGGAACUUUAUUGGGAAGCAAAGAGUUAUAGAUUAAAACCCAAUUUAUGCCCAUAAUCAAAUAUACUAAAUUUAGACCUUAGGUCCAAAACCACCUUGUCAAUUCAAAGAUAAUAAAAUUAAAGUUUAAAAACCAUUAAAAGAAUCCAAAAUAAUGAGGACAUGAGCUCUAUGUCCAUGUGCAUCUAUCACAUCAUGUGUUUAAAAAUAAAAUUGAACCUAAGGCUCGACCUCUAUUACCCCCCGUAAAAGAUUUCAAGAAGAAAUUUAUUAAUGGCAUAACAAAAAAAAAAAUCAAAUAAUAAUAAUACCAAAAAAUAUAGAAAAAAUAAAAAAUCUUAUAAAACAUCUUCCUCCUUGCUUCCCAAAGCAAUCUUUAAGUUAGUGUUAAAUCUUUUUUUAAUAUUUUCUAGUAUAUAUAAUUCUAGAUUUAUUAUAUUAAAUAUGGUAUCAAUAUUUUAGCUCAAAACUAAAGUUUUUUUUUUUUUAAUAAUCCGGGAUGUUCGGGUUAACUUGCGCACACCACAACUAAUCCACGAGAUCUACUGAACAUCCUACAAGCCCAAUAAACAUGUAAGGCACCGCGAGGAUGACAUAUGUGCACAAUAAAAUUCAAAUCCAUGUGCAGUGGAAGGGAACAAGUUUCUUCCACCACUGGACCACAUCCCUCAGUGCAAAAAUAACUAAAGUUUUUCUUGAUCUAUACAACACUCCAUCUAGUAUGAAUAAUAUGUAUUGUUAUUUUUUUUUAUUUGAUAAAAUAUUUGAAAUGAUGAUUAAAAAAAAUACCUGCUACUAUAUUAGAUCAAAUCAGUCAACCAUAAUAUAUAUUAAAAAAAAAAUUAAUAUGGCUUGUUCGACUUUCGGGGCAAGAGCAAACUAAUUACCUCAUUUAAAUGGCAAUAUAAUUAAAAACAAAUCCACUCCAUCAUUGUUUUAACAUCUACCUAGCUCUAGCUUAAAUAUGAAAUAAUAAAUUGUCAAAACAUUAAAUCAUAAAAAAAAAAAUUAGAAAGUAAAAUGAAAAGAUGGCAACAUAUUGUAUUGAUCUGGAUUAACAUGUGAAAUUUACAACCAAUAUAAUAGACACAAUCAUAAUAAAUGAAUCUGGUUGGACAAUUUAUAUUUUUUUUUCUUCUUUUAUUCUCUUCCUGAUUGAGUCUUAAUAUAUCUCAAGUUAGAUUAACUCUGGAGUCUGUUGGUAAAACUUUGAUAAACUUUAUUUUGAAGAAUGAUACAUCUGCUCGCAGAAAUUCAAGAUAUACUUGCCUCGUUGUGAUCAUGUUGAAUGAACAUCCAAAUUACAAGAGAUGUUAAUUACAUAAAAGAAAAUCUACAAAAAUGCUACAGUAAGUUAUUUCUCUGCAUUACAUGAUCCAUGCUUCUCUGGUAACAAAACCAAGCUCACUUGUGAAGUCGAAACUCCUGAAAAGAGUUUUAUUGAUUGCAAAACAUCCUUGGACUAAUGACGAAUCAUAUGUAGAAGAGACAGAGGACUUGCUUGGAGAAUCAGUGGAAACUGUUCGUUCUGAGGAAAUGGCUGGUACAAGUGCUGGAUAUCACAGUUUAUAUUUAAUGCAAUCACAAGGAGAUGGCAGAUGAACUUUUUAUUCUAGUGUCACAGCUUCGCUUGAUAGUUUGCUUUUUAUAAUAGCUUGCGAGCAGUGUAUGGUAAUGCUUUUAUUUUCUAUAUUUCAGUCCAGUUCUGUUUUUGUUAUAGUGGUCCUGUAAUUUUAAAAGACGAAGAAUUUCUGACAGUAUGUGCAAUACUCAACCCGCAUUGAAACUCUUUAUCCUAUCUCCAUUCUGGUGUAUGCCAUGCUCGUUGACAAGGACUUCGAUUGCAUGUCUCUGGGAAGGAAAUUUUUAUCGUCGCCCCGACAUUUAGACAACCACAAAAAAAGAAAUCCGGAAAGGCACAAUCAUUAUUCAAUUUUUAUAUUUUUUUAUCUAAUCUUGACGCAGCAGUAAACAGUGAAGGAAUACGACCAACGUCAAUAUUCUGUAAAAUUGUAUAAACAAGAGAAACUCUCAGAAAACUCAAAGGUUUUUAUUCAAUAAUUAUUAGCUGCCACCUCCAGAGGCUUUGCAAUGAUAUUUAAAGCAAAAUUCUACCCUAACCCAUGACGGAUAAGGAAACGACACAAAACAUUAAAUUUACCAAAAAUGACAAAUUUGAGAUAAAUGCAGAAUAUGAAAGGCCUAUAAAUCCUGAGCAAACAAGAAUUGACGGAAGUCAAUUCGGACUCUGGAAUCAAAAGUUAUGGCCAAAACAAAACUUUCCUAAAAUGACAAAAAUGACGAUUUCGGGGACGAAACGAUGGAAUUUGGCCAAAAACCGGUGGACAUCAGGGGCAUAGCCGCUGACUUCAUCCGCAAAUGGCGAAACGCUUUGACUCGGUGAGUUUCGCGGCAUUCCAACAUCAACGCCCCGGCUGCCGAAAUUCAGUUGCCUUUGAAUUUCGGGUGAUCCCUUUUGAGCAUGUAUUCUUCCGUUAUUUGUUCUACAUCAAAUCUUAAGCUACAAAACUGUAUAACAAAUUCAGUUCGAUACUGCAAUUGUUGAGGUAUAGAUUUGGACUUUUAUUUUGACCAAACCAUAAAAUUCAUGUCUUUUAAGUAAUGCAUUUCUCAGGUAAUGAAAUCACCAAUUAAAUCUCAGGAGUCCAGGGAUAGCUAAUGGAUUAAAUUAGAGGCAUAUCGAAGAUAUAAUAAAUACACCCAUCAGUAGGAAUCAUCAAAAGCAGCAAUCACAAUCAAAUAGGCAGAGAAAGGCACCCCCACCACUGCUCUUGUUAAAACCCAAUUCCUCUUGUGUAUAUACUCAUUAUAUCCGCGCAAGUCAAAUAAUUUGUUUUUUACAAAAGAAAUUAAAUAUACAAGCUUUUAAAUUUUGUUUUUUUUUAUCCUAAUUAUAAAUAAAAAAACCUAUACAUUCACUUAAUUAAAUACAUUAAAAACUACAUGUGCCAAUAAAUAUAUAAAAAAAAUAAAAUCUUAACAUGUUUAUUCAACUCGCCUCACUACAAGUUAAAUAAUUUUUUUUUUCUAAUAUAAAAGAAUUAAUAUGUAGGUGUUAUUAACAAAUCUUUUUACAUCGAGUAAAAAAUAUAACCGUAAAUCAAAAACCUGAUGACCACAUGUGUCAUCGCAACAUAGAAAGGAAAUGUUAAGACGAUUCAAACUCUACCGUGAAAGAUGAUAUUUGAUUAUUGGAAGGCUUCUCAAUCGAGGAUGCGUGCAAUAUAGUUGUUUGAUAUUUUUUUUAAUAAUAUUUAUAUUUAUUAAAUUAUUAAAUAACUUCUAAGUCAACCUAGAUAUUUUAUUGUUUCAAUCUUGGUGUAAAAUGAAUGAUGGAUGAUUUUUAGUUUUUUCUUAAGUAUUUAAUUCUCAGUUAUAUUAUGCUCUGGUUUAUGCAAUUUAAUUUACUAGUAGUUUUAGUUUUUAGGAUAAAACCAUUAUUCAAUUAACUUCCCUAAAGAAAGAGAGAUUGACAGAUCUCAAAUACAAGAAAAAAUAAAUAAAUUUAAGUGGCAUGUUAUUUCCGAACCGGAAUAUAUUGGAAGAUCCUCUCCAACGGCUCAAAUAUAAUGAGAGCCACCAUAUCAUCAUACGUUGUUAACAAUCCCGUGAAGUAACUGAUAUCAAUUUUUUUUUUAAUUUAUUAGGAUUAAGAAAAAAUUGAAUGAAUUUUAAUUAUAUUUGUUUGAAAGUUUAGUAGCGGUUAUUUUUUAAAAUAUUUUUUAUUAAAAAAUAUAUUGAAAUAAUUUUUUACUAUUUUAACAUUAAUAAAUCAAAAUAAUAUAAAAACACCAAAAUAUAUAUAUAUAUAUAUAUAAAUUUUAAUGAGAGGAUUAUAGAUUAUAUAAAAUUAAAAUCAUGUUUGCUUUUUUUUGAAGUGUUUAGGAAUAUGAUGCAAACCACAUUCCCUCAAAUUUUGAAAAAAAAAUUAUUUAAAUUUUUUUUUAUGUUUUCAAAUCGUUUUAAUAUGUUAAUGUUAAAAAUAAUUUUUAAAAAAUAAAAAAAAUAAAUAAAACGCAACCGUCUCUUUAAAUUGAGUAGGUAACCUUCGAUUUAUGCUUCGGUUAAUGUAGAUCUUGUAAGAAACCCAUCCAGUCGAAGCUAUUUGCUUAUUAGUCUAAAAGAGAUCUUUGAAUUCGUUAUUUAGUUUUAGGUUAUCAGACUGGUGAGAUUCUAAAUGUUGCACUGCUAAAUAUCAGCAAGUUGGGAAAUGAAGGCAAACCUCAAGAAUCGAAGAUAUGUUUACCAUCGAGAUCGAGCUUAAUCCAUGCAAAUGGACUCCACCAUCGCUGCUUUGUUAACUCUUCAUAACUGAUAAUUUGCUGGGUUUUAUUUUAAUUUUUAUCAGUCGCUUAAUUUUAACGUCACUGCUUCAAUUCACUCUGUCAAAAGCGCCGGUAAGUAAAAAAAUUAAAAAACUAAUUAAACCGAAAAAACCAGAAAAAAAUAAUUGAGAAAACCAAACAAAAAAAACCCGAUUAAAAUAUUAAAAAACUGGCUGGUUUGGUUCGGUUUUGAUUUUAUAAAUAAAAAACUAAAAAAACCUAACCGAACCGAAAAUUGAGUUAAACUGAGUCAAAACCAAUCCAAAUUAGAAAAAUCAAGCUAAAAUCAACCUAAACUAAAAAAAAAAACCAAUAAAUAAAGUACAAAAAUAAAAGUAAGUUGAAAUGACAACUUUUUAUUUAAAAAGAAAAAACUUUUCCUUUUCACGUUACUUUGUUUCAGGCUACCAUAUGCUCUAUAAAAGCACCCACUAGCGAUUGUUUCUCAACUUUUUUUUAAGAAUCUAUUCACUUUUUUUUAUUGUGAGAGAUUAGCAGAGGUUCAAUGGCCAAGUAACAAGUGUUCCUUUGGGCUCAAACAACCUCCCUUCCCCCUUUACUUUUUUUUUUUUUUAAUAUUAAUUUUGAUUUUGAUUUUUAAUUUCAAAGGAGUUUGUGUCACGCGUGAGAUAAUCCGUUGUUUCACCAGCGUAUGAUUUUCGGCAGACAGCUAGGAGGACACAAACCUCUCCCACACGGCAAGUGCAUGUAAAUUCCACAAGUGAACCCCGCAGCAUUAGAUAGUGAAGGUGGAAUUUAGUUGACUUUAAAAGGCUACUCAUCAAGUCAAGGUCGCACAUCCACUCUAUUUGCCAUGCAAUUUCUUGAAAUUAAUUUGCCAUUACAUUUCUUGAAUUAGGCGGCUUGACUUACAAGAGAAUUAUAAUGCAGUAGUUAUUUUUAAUUUUUUUUUAUUUGGAAAUAUAUUAAAUAAUGAUUUUUUAUUUUUAAUAUUAACAUAUCAAAAUAAUUUUGAAAUACUAAAAAAAAUUAAUUUGAAAUAAAUAAAAAAUAAAAAAAAUUAAUUUAUUUUAAAUAAAGAAAUAAUAGAAUAAAAAGGCUUCGAUUCUAGUAAGUUCUUGCUUGCAAGUCCUCUACCACACGCUCAUUUAGAUACUCAGUCACUUAUAUCCCAACUGGCAUUCAAGCCUAGUAAUUUGGUCUUCCAUCUACCAAUAUCGUGGUACUUUGCUUUAUAAAAAAGGCUAGCUGCCACAGUGAGUUUUGCACCACCCGACUCCAUUCUAAUUAAACAGAAAAGUAGCUGUCAUGAGAAUUCGAGGAAUGGCCUUACAGUUCACAAUAACAGGAGUAGUGUUGUUAGCAGCAGUGACAGCAGCAACAGGGUUUCCUAUAGCGAAGCCUGGAUGCCAAGAUAGGUGUGGGAAUGUUAGUAUCCCAUAUCCAUUUGGCACCAGAAAAGAUUGCUACCACGACCGGAGGUUCCUCAUAACUUGCAACCAUUCUUUCAACCCUCCAAAAGCGUUUUUAGAAAAUAGUAACUUAAGUGUCACAGAAAUAACCCUUGAUGGGAAGCUACGCCUCAUGCAAUAUAUAGCUAAGGACUGCUAUAAUCGGGCAGGUGCACGAAGAUCGAGAAACAUACCCCGGAUAAACCUACCCGUCCAAGGUCCAUACGUUUUUUCUGACACUGACAAUAUGUUCGUCGCUAUCUGCUGUGAUACUGUAGCUGAAAUGCAAGGUAGACGAGAAGACACGAAUGAUACAUACCUGGUAGGAUGCAUUUCCGAAUGUAGCAACAAAACAUUUGUACCAAACACGUGCUCCGGAAUCGGUUGCUGCCAAACCUCCAUUGCCAAAGGAAUUAAGUACUUCGACGUGCGCUUGUCUAGUUUGUAUAAUCAUACGGGAAUCUGGGAAUUCAAUCCUUGCAGCUUUGCCUUCAUGAUUGAAGAAAAGCAGUUCAGCUUUUUUCCAAGUAACCUGUCGGAUUUACAGGAAGUCAGCAAGCUUCCUAUUAUAGUGGAUUGGAGUAUUGGGCGCAAUAACUGCGAAACCUUGGAAAAGAAUAAGAUAUCGAAUGCAUGUCAAGGACAGAGCAAAUGUCAAGACCCUGAAAAUGGGUCUGGGUACAUUUGCAAAUGCUUAGAUGGCUAUCAAGGAAAUCCAUACCUCCCAAAUGGUUGCCGAAGUAUGCAUUUCUUUUUCUUAAUUUUAUCCCUUUUUUAUAACUUUUUACUUUCAUAAAGAGAAAUCCAUACCUCCCAAAUGGUUGCCGAAGUAUGCAUUUCUUUUUCUUAAUUUUAUCCCUUUUUUAUAACUUUUUACUUUCAUAAAGAGAAAGUUAAAUUACUUGUAAUUGAUUUCGAGGAGAUCCCUAAUCUGAUUUUUCGAGAUUGGAUUACUUGAAAUUAUGAGAAUUUACUUUAGUUUUACGUAAAGGCUUCUCUUUAUGAUGCUUCUGCAGACAUUAAUGAAUGUUCAGAUCCAAAAGUAGCCCACAAUUGCAGCCACGCAUGCAUCGACACCGAAGGGAAUUAUACAUGUUCUUGCCCCAAGGGGUACCAUGGAGAUGGGAGAAUAGAUGGAGAACGCUGCAUCCGCAAUCGAUCAUCAGUGAUUCAGGUCGCUGUCGGUAAGUUCGUAUAUCAUCCUCUUCAUUUUCAAUCCCGAUGUUCAUGUACAUACUAUUGUGUAUAGAUCUUUCAUGUGCCAUUAAACGUACCUGUUUGUUUCAGGAAUUUUCAUAUCUGCAAUGUACAUAAUUAAUGUACAUAUCUACGAAUUUUCAUAUCUGCAAUGUACAUAAUUAAUGUUUCAACAUCCUUGUACAUGUAGGAAUUGGAGUGGGACUGACAUCUUUGUUGAUGGGAAUUACUUGGCUGUACUGGGGAUACAAUAAAUGGAAGCUAAUUAAGCUCAAAGAGAAGUUCUUUAGGCAAAAUGGUGGUCUAAUGCUGGAGCAGCAGCUAUCAAGAAGGGAAGGAUCCGUUACAGAAACGGCAAAAAUCUUUUCAGCUGAAGAACUCGAGAAAGCCACGGACAAGUACCAUGAAAGCAGAAUUCUUGGCCGUGGAGGUUUUGGGACUGUUUACAAGGGAACUUUAACAGAUGGAAGAACUGUUGCAAUCAAGAAGUCCAAAACAAUCGAUCAUAGCCAGAUCGAGCAGUUUAUCAAUGAGGUGGUUGUUCUUUACCAAAUCAAUCACAGGAAUGUGGUGAAGCUUCUGGGAUGUUGCUUGGAGACAGAAGUCCCAUUACUAGUUUAUGAAUAUGUUGCAAACGGCACCCUCUAUGACCACAUUCACGACAUGAGUAAGGUGUCGGCCCUCACCUGGGAAAUCCGUUUAAAGAUAGCUUCUGAAACUGCAGGUGUUCUAUCAUAUUUGCAUUCCGCGGCUUCUGUGCCAAUCAUUCAUAGGGAUGUCAAGUCUACAAACAUACUCCUGGACAACAGUUACAAGGCAAAAGUGUCAGAUUUUGGCACUUCUAGGUUAAUUCCGUUGGAUCAAGUUGAAGUGUCAACAAUGGUGCAGGGUACUCUAGGAUACUUAGACCCUGAGUACUUGCACACAAGCCAACUGACGGACAAAAGUGAUGUUUACAGUUUUGGAGUGGUUCUUGUGGAACUACUAACUGGGAUGAAGGCAGUUUCCUUCCAUAAGCCUGAGGAGGAGAGGAGUUUAUCAGCGUAUUUUCUAUGCGCACUGAAAGAAGAUCGCCUGGUCCAUAUUCUUCAGGAUAGCAUGGUGAACCAGGAUAAUAUUAGGCAGCUGAAGGGAGUUGCCAACAUUGCAAAGAAGUGCUUAAGAGUAAAAGGAGAGGGAAGACCCAACAUGAAGAAGGUAGCAAUGGAAUUAGAGGGG
Molecule: long non-coding RNA, 9856 nt
Filed under: Populus tremula
Lineage: Eukaryota; Viridiplantae; Streptophyta; Magnoliopsida; Malpighiales; Salicaceae
Description: long non-coding RNA (PTRE_LNC001855)
Source: RNAcentral